GACAGAGGUCCCAAGCGUUAGGCGGAAUCACUGGGCUUAAAGCGUGUGUAGGCGGAUUUGUAAGUACCUUGUGAAAUCCCACGGCUUAACCGUGGAACUGCUUGGUAUACUGCUUAUCUUGGGCCAUCUAGGGGCUAGCGGAACAAACGGUGGAGCGGUGAAAUGCGUAGAUAUCGUUUGGAACGCCAAUGGUGAAAACAGCUAGCUGGGGAUGUGCCGACGCUGAGACACGAAAGCCAGGGGAGCGAACGGG
Molecule: ribosomal RNA, 253 nt
Filed under: Tepidisphaera sp.
Lineage: Bacteria; Pseudomonadati; Planctomycetota; Phycisphaerae; Tepidisphaerales; Tepidisphaeraceae
Also listed under: 1 other name
Description: partial 16S ribosomal RNA
Rfam family: Bacterial small subunit ribosomal RNA
Source: RNAcentral